GACAGAGGUGCCGAGCGUUAGGCGGAAUCACUGGGCUUAAAGCGUGUGUAGGCGGACUUCUAAGUACCUUGUGAAAUCCCAUGGCUCAACCAUGGAACUGCUUGGUAUACUGGUUGUCUUGAGCCACUUAGGGGCAGUCGGAACAGAUGGUGGAGCGGUGAAAUGCGUAGAGAUCCGGAGGAACACCGACGGCGCAGGCAGCGUCCUGGCCGCUUGCUGACACUGAGGCACGAAAGCUGGGGGAGCAAACAGG
RNAcentral lists this ribosomal RNA (253 nucleotides) under uncultured bacterium. RNAcentral describes it as "partial 16S ribosomal RNA". It matches the Rfam family "Bacterial small subunit ribosomal RNA", at positions 524 to 776 of the family's 1533-position model. The record is from RNAcentral.